RNAcentral lists this long non-coding RNA (1031 nucleotides) under Capsicum annuum. RNAcentral describes it as "long non-coding RNA (CANN_LNC019332)". The record is from RNAcentral. Lineage: Eukaryota; Viridiplantae; Streptophyta; Magnoliopsida; Solanales; Solanaceae.
GCCUUAAGAAAAUUAUCUAGAUUAAUUAGUUCAUAAAAGUUAGAAUCAUAGAUAUCACAAAUGAAUUACAAAGGAAAUAAAUAAAUAAAUGGAAGUUUGGAUUGGGCUUUUGGCCCAUUUUGAUCUGUCCAGACUUGGGCUGUAUUUUUUAUGGACUGUGGGUCCAUUUCCAAGAUGUAUAUCACAUGUAUACCAGCCCCAAUUUUCUUCACGUUUUACUGUAUAUCACUGCAUAAACAGUGUCUAUCAGCGUGAAAACCUGCUUAUUUCCCCUCUAUUUUUUAUUCUGCACCGUGUAGUAGUGUGCAGCUGCCACUUCCAAUGUAUACCAGCCAUAUAUAUAAUGGUAUACCAGUGCAAAAAUUAGUCUUUUUAAGACUUUGCCUUGAGGUUUGACUCGAUGUUGGGUCGGACCCAACGAAAUGCAAGAAGUGGGAAUACGAGGGCCUCGACGGGGGAGUUCAUGCAUAGAAAGUAAAUAAAAGGAUAAGGGUUAGUAUCCAUGCAAGUACACAAUAAAGAUGAGAAUUAAUUGAAAGAAAGAAAACGAAAUUAAUGCACCUUUGUUCACCAUGAGAUGCAAAGUCAUGGUUCUAACAAAAUCAAGUCUAUAACAAACUUGCUAUCACGAGAUGAAACUAAAAAAGAAGUUCCCAAAUCGAUAAUCUAGACAAAUAGCUAUGUAUUCCCAAAGAAAUACAAGUCUUCUAUAGACAAAGCCAUUCUCCUUUUCCGUCUAAUAAAAUUCCGAUGACAAAUAUGGAACAUUUUAAAACCAGACACAAGCUUACAAAAGCUAGUUUUCAGAGAGCCUUCUAAAUAGGAAGCAUUGUGACAAGGAACAAGGAUGAAGAUGUUGAUCCUAUCUUGAAAAUAAUUCAAUAGAUAUAUUGAGGAUAAAACAAGUCUAUGGCCUUAACAUUAAUGAAAAAAAAAUUGCCAAGCUCAAGCAAAAUGAACUCAAAAACCUCACGUCCAUGAAUAAGACAAUCUAUAAAUUUAUGUUAACUGAUUCGUUUUCAAAAGCUUAC